AAAAAGACAAAUCCUAAAUUUCCGUGUCCAAUUUUAAUUAUCUGUUUUAUAUGAAAUUUUUUUAUAAUUCGUAUUUUUAUUGUUGGUAGAUAAUAAAACAUGAUUAAUAUUUUAUGCGUAACUUGUCUUUUUAAUUUUUUUUAUAAUUUUUUUAAAUAAGACGGACGGUCAAAUGUUGGACAUGGAAAUCAAGGUUUGUCUUUUUU
MicroRNA precursor from Oryza sativa Indica Group (long-grained rice), 206 nucleotides. It matches the Rfam family "MIR812 microRNA precursor family". NCBI's taxonomy places the organism in Eukaryota, Viridiplantae, Streptophyta, Magnoliopsida, Poales, Poaceae. The record is from Rfam.